Molecule: long non-coding RNA, 1387 nt
Organism: Cygnus olor (mute swan)
Lineage: Eukaryota; Metazoa; Chordata; Aves; Anseriformes; Anatidae
Exons: 3
Source: RefSeq, a predicted model, not a curated record
CGCGCAGCGAGACCCCAACCCCAUCCGCGCCGGGAGCCCUCUUCCCACGGAGCUUCGCCGGGAGCCAUAUGAAUGAAGACACAAGAGCAUUCUUAAAUAUCAUUGUAAAGUGUAAUACCUCUGAUUUAAAGGACCACCUUGCUUAUUCAUUGUAUGCAACAAAAGGUGUAAUGGAGAAUAUGAGCAGCCUCUGUUGAAAAGAAAAGAGAGGAAUACAGAGUACCUUCUGCAUUCACAGUCCACCUGAGGAUGACAUCUGUGAUUUGUAAGCAGUCAAAUUCAACUCAGUCCACAUUAGCAAUCCAGCUCUAAUAUGGAAGCCCCAAGGCAGUUCUGCCCCUGCUCAUCUUCCAGUCCACAACUUGCUGACAACGUGCUUGUAAUUUACCAUUGACAAGAAUUUCUUCUCACUGCCUUUUCGUACUGAAGAUAUAUGUAUGUUCUUCUAACCCAGACAAACAGAAAAGCUAGAUGGAGUAGAAAAGCAAUUCACAAAAUGAUACCAAUUCCUUGCAAAGCACCACUUCAUGUUCCACUGGGGAAUCCAUGCACUUCCAGGAGAUGCCUCCAGGUUAUAAUGCACUGUAUGAAUACACUAGUGAUUUUGUACAAACCAGACAAAAAGCAGAAUAACCACAGGCAACAUUUUGCUGGGCUAGCCUACGUGCCUGCAGCUGUCCUCCUCUGCUUUGUACCAGUGCUGUGAGAAAGCACCUGGGACCCAGUUUGCUCCUUCACUGCAAAGAACGCACUUGCAUUCAUGCCAUGCUUCGGGUCAGCCUGUGUGCACUACUCUUCUUCUGUCUGGUGCUAGAGGAAUCAGAAAAGCAAUGGUUCCAGCCACAAGGAAAGAUACAGAGCAGGGGUUAGGCUGCCUUGGGGACAGCAGUGUGCACCCCACCACAGCUUCAUGAUCCUCAAUAUAAUCCUUCUGAAUCUUCUUGCAUGCACCGAGAGCAGUUGUGCACAUGCUAGCAAUAAGUCCAGUGGAGGUACAGUGCCUGCACGGUGGGCAGCCAUGAACCUCACCAGCUCAAAAGCGUGAGAGCCACUGGUGGCUGAAGCUGUCUGAGGACAACUUCAAGCCCUACCUGAACCAAGUCAUAUCCUGUGUUUCCUGUGCUCAUACCUGUUUCAUGGAGCUGGGGAUGGGUUUAGAGCACUAGAUAUGCAUCAUAAAAGGGAAUGUGCAAUAGAGUCAGGACUUAGUACUGAGGUCUGACUAAAAAGACAGCCUCUAUAAUUCUAAUUUUCAAUAAAUCAGAAAUAAUGACUUACCUUUGUAUCUACAAAGUUUAAUUUUGCAGGUUACAUAUUCCCAAAAUUCAACGUAUCCUUGGUUCCCAGAAUCCUCCUUUUAAAUGCAAUGUCAUUUCUCCUACUCCUA